RNAcentral lists this ribosomal RNA (1839 nucleotides) under Staphylococcus epidermidis. Its description in RNAcentral is "bacterial LSU rRNA". It matches the Rfam family "Bacterial large subunit ribosomal RNA", at positions 226 to 2142 of the family's 2925-position model. The record is from RNAcentral. Lineage: Bacteria; Bacillati; Bacillota; Bacilli; Caryophanales; Staphylococcaceae.
AAAAAUCGAUUCCCUGAGUAGCGGCGAGCGAAACGGGAAGAGCCCAAACCAACAAGCUUGCUUGUUGGGGUUGUAGGACACUCUAUACGGAGUUACAAAAGAACAUGUUAGACGAAUCAUCUGGAAAGAUGAAUCAAAGAAGGUAAUAAUCCUGUAGUCGAAAACAUAUUCUCUCUUGAGUGGAUCCUGAGUACGACGGAGCACGUGAAAUUCCGUCGGAAUCUGGGAGGACCAUCUCCUAAGGCUAAAUACUCUCUAGUGACCGAUAGUGAACCAGUACCGUGAGGGAAAGGUGAAAAGUACCCCGGAAGGGGAGUGAAAGAGAACUUGAAACCGUGUGCUUACAAGUAGUCAGAGCCCGUUAAUGGGUGAUGGCGUGCCUUUUGUAGAAUGAACCGGCGAGUUACGAUCUGAUGCAAGGUUAAGCAGCAAAUGUGGAGCCGCAGCGAAAGCGAGUCUGAAUAGGGCGUUGAGUAUUUGGUCGUAGACCCGAAACCAGGUGAUCUACCCUUGGUCAGGUUGAAGUUCAGGUAACACUGAAUGGAGGACCGAACCGACUUACGUUGAAAAGUGAGCGGAUGAACUGAGGGUAGCGGAGAAAUUCCAAUCGAACUUGGAGAUAGCUGGUUCUCUCCGAAAUAGCUUUAGGGCUAGCCUCAAGUGAUGAUUAUUGGAGGUAGAGCACUGUUUGGACGAGGGGCCCCUCUCGGGUUACCGAAUUCAGACAAACUCCGAAUGCCAAUUAAUUUAACUUGGGAGUCAGAACAUGGGUGAUAAGGUCCGUGUUCGAAAGGGAAACAGCCCAGACCACCAGCUAAGGUCCCAAAAUAUAUGUUAAGUGGAAAAGGAUGUGGCGUUGCCCAGACAACUAGGAUGUUGGCUUAGAAGCAGCCAUCAUUUAAAGAGUGCGUAAUAGCUCACUAGUCGAGUGACACUGCGCCGAAAAUGUACCGGGGCUAAACAUAUUACCGAAGCUGUGGAUUGUCCUUUGGACAAUGGUAGGAGAGCGUUCUAAGGGCGUCGAAGCAUGAUCGCAAGGACAUGUGGAGCGCUUAGAAGUGAGAAUGCCGGUGUGAGUAGCGAAAGACGGGUGAGAAUCCCGUCCACCGAUUGACUAAGGUUUCCAGAGGAAGGCUCGUCCGCUCUGGGUUAGUCGGGUCCUAAGCUGAGGCCGACAGGCGUAGGCGAUGGAUAACAGGUUGAUAUUCCUGUACCACCUAGUAUCGUUUUAAUCGAUGGGGGGACGCAGUAGGAUAGGCGAAGCGUGCUGUUGGAGUGCACGUCCAAGCAGUAAGGCUGAGUGUUAGGCAAAUCCGGCACUCAUAAGGCUGAGCUGUGAUGGGGAGAGGANCGACACAGGUAGUCAAGAUGAGAAUUCUAAGGUGAGCGAGCGAACUCUCGUUAAGGAACUCGGCAAAAUGACCCCGUAACUUCGGGAGAAGGGGUGCUCUUUAGGGUUCACGCCCAGAAGAGCCGCAGUGAAUAGGCCCAAGCGACUGUUUAUCAAAAACACAGGUCUCUGCUAAACCGUAAGGUGAUGUAUAGGGGCUGACGCCUGCCCGGUGCUGGAAGGUUAAGAGGAGUGGUUAGCUUCUGCGAAGCUACGAAUCGAAGCCCCAGUAAACGGCGGCCGUAACUAUAACGGUCCUAAGGUAGCGAAAUUCCUUGUCGGGUAAGUUCCGACCCGCACGAAAGGCGUAACGAUUUGGGCACUGUCUCAACGAGAGACUCGGUGAAAUCAUAGUACCUGUGAAGAUGCAGGUUACCCGCGACAGGACGGAAAGACCCCGUGGAGCUUUACUGUAGCCUGAUAUUGAAAUUCGGCACAGCUUGUACAGG